This 65-nucleotide transfer RNA is filed under the name Xiphorhynchus elegans (elegant woodcreeper). RNAcentral's name for it is "tRNA-Ser". The record is from RNAcentral. Lineage: Eukaryota; Metazoa; Chordata; Aves; Passeriformes; Dendrocolaptidae.
GAGGGGGGUUCAACCAACAAGAACUGCUAACUCUUGUAUCUGAGUUUAAAACCUCAGCUCCCUUG